This 196-nucleotide unclassified non-coding RNA is filed under the name uncultured fungus. RNAcentral describes it as "sequence contains ITS1, 5.8S rRNA gene". The record is from RNAcentral. Lineage: Eukaryota; Fungi.
ACGAGUUAGGGUCUUCUAGGCCCGACCUCCCAACCCAUUGUUUACUAAACCUCUUGUUGCUUCGGCGGACCCGUCUCACGACCGCCGGAGGACCGCCCGAGCGGCGUCCUCUGGCCCGUGUCCGCCGAGAGCCCCCAUUAAAAUUCUUGAAUGAAUCGUGCCUCUAAUGCCUAAGUCAAUGAUUAAAUCAAAAGCA